This is a long non-coding RNA of Alexandromys fortis (reed vole), 713 nucleotides long. RefSeq lists it as uncharacterized. The transcript has 3 exons. Lineage: Eukaryota; Metazoa; Chordata; Mammalia; Rodentia; Cricetidae. The record is from RefSeq and is a predicted model, not a curated record.
UUCGCCCCGCCGGGCUGCGUGCACGUGAGCGCGCUGCUCGCCCGUUCUAAUUUUAGCAAUGAGGUGUCAGGGUCGUGUGAGGAUGCUUGAUGCUGGUCGGCUAGAGCUAAGAAAAAGCAACGAUUCAGAAGAGGCCAGCAUCACUGAGGUGAAAUCUUCUAGUAGAUGUUUCCUGAGAGCACAGAGAGGCUGUGUUCUAGAAGUGGUCAAGGUUGUACUUCGUGCUGGCGGCCAGAUUUGAUUGAUAACGUGUUAGAGUCACCCAGGUGGUUCUGGUUUUGAAGGCGUGAAGGGAUCACGGAGAGCAGCUGAGGCUUGGCGCUGUGAGGCCAGGAGAGGUUAUUUGUGAAGGAAUACUUGUGUGAGGAUGAAGCUAUCUCAGAAUGACUGAUGUGAAUGAUGAAAACAAGGCUGCUGUUUUAGCAGGGAACAUCUGUCCUCUUGCUGGUCCAGAGGAGGAGGGACCAAUGCGGUAGCCUGUGAGCCCAGCACCUGAACCUUGGUGGAGAGCAGGGUCAGUCUUAUUUUAAAAUUCACUUUAAAUUAACAUGUAUAUGUGUGUAUGAAAGAGAGACAGAGAGAAAGAGAGAGAGAGAAUGAACAACUUGCAAAAUCCAUGGUCUCUUCUUUUAUUGUGUGAGUUCCAGAAAUUGAACUCAGGUCACCAGGUUUGGCAGCAAGCUCUUUUACCUGCUGAGCCAUCUUGCUUGUCU